UAACACAUGCAAUCGAGCGUAGAGAGAAGCUUGCUUCUCUGAGAGCGGCGGACGGGUGAGUAAUGCCCUAGGAAUCUGCCUGGUAGUGGGGAUAACGCUCGGAAACGACGCUAAUACCGCAUACGUCCUACGGGAGAAAGCAGGGGACCUUCGGGCCUUGCGCUAUCAGAUGAGCCUAGGUCGGAUUAGCUAGUUGGUGAGGUAAUGGCUCACCAAGGCGACGAUCCGUAACUGGUCUGAGAGGAUGAUCAGUCACACUGGAACUGAGACACGGUCCAGACUCCUACGGGAGGCAGCAGUGGGGAAUAUUGGACAAUGGGCGAAAGCCUGAUCCAGCCAUGCCGCGUGUGUGAAGAAGGUCUUCGGAUUGUAAAGCACUUUAAGUUGGGAGGAAGGGCAGUAACCUAAUACGUUAUUGUUUUGACGUUACCGACAGAAUAAGCACCGGCUAACUCUGUGCCAGCAGCCGCGGUAAUACAGAGGGUGCAAGCGUUAAUCGGAAUUACUGGGCGUAAAGCGCGCGUAGGUGGUUUGUUAAGUUGAAUGUGAAAUCCCCGGGCUCAACCUGGGAACUGCAUCCAAAACUGGCAAGCUAGAGUAGGGCAGAGGGUGGUGGAAUUUCCUGUGUAGCGGUGAAAUGCGUAGAUAUAGGAAGGAACACCAGUGGCGAAGGCGACCACCUGGGCUCAUACUGACACUGAGGUGCGAAAGCGUGGGGAGCAAACAGGAUUAGAUACCCUGGUAGUCCACGCCGUAAACGAUGUCAACUAGCCGUUGGAAUCCUUGAGAUUUUAGUGGCGCAGCUAACGCAUUAAGUUGACCGCCUGGGGAGUACGGCCGCAAGGUUAAAACUCAAAUGAAUUUGACGGGGGCCCGCACAAGCGGGGAGCAUGUGGUUUAAUUCGAAGCAACGCGAAGACCUUACCAGGCCUUGACAUCCAAUGAAUCCUUUAGAGAUAGAGGAGUGCCUUCGGGAGCAUUGAGACAGGUGCUGCAUGGUGUCGUCAGCUCGUGUCGUGAGAUGUUGGGGUAGG
Molecule: ribosomal RNA, 1034 nt
Filed under: bacterium enrichment culture clone SaD12
Lineage: Bacteria
Description: bacterial SSU rRNA
Rfam family: Bacterial small subunit ribosomal RNA
Source: RNAcentral